Cebus imitator (Panamanian white-faced capuchin) is the source of this 135-nucleotide long non-coding RNA. RefSeq lists it as uncharacterized. Lineage: Eukaryota; Metazoa; Chordata; Mammalia; Primates; Cebidae. The record is from RefSeq and is a predicted model, not a curated record. The transcript is spliced from 3 exons.
AAGGAAGAAAUGAAGUGUCUAGGGGUGAGCUGGAGAUUGGAUCACAGCCGAAGGAGUAAAGGUGCUGCAAUGAUGUUAUCUAUGGCCGUUGGGGAUUUUUCACGAGAAGCUUAAUAAACUAAAAACUUUCGUGUG